CCCCUAGAUGUUCUGGGCCGCACGCGCGCUACACUGAACAGUUCAACAAGUCUUAACCUUGGCCGAUAGGUCUGGGUAAUCUUUGAACGCUGUUCGUGAUUGGGAUAGACCUUUGCAAUUAUGGGUCUUCAACGAGGAAUUCCUAGUAAACGCAAGUCAUCAGCUUGCAUUGAUUACGUCCCUGCCCUUUGUACACACCGCCCGUCGCACCUACCGAUUGAAUGGUCCGGUGAAAUCUUCGGAUCUGAGAGAUGUCUGAUUAAUUUCGGACGCCUUUUGGAAAAGUUGCUUAAACCUUACCAUUUAGAGGAAGGUGAANUCGUAACA
RNAcentral lists this ribosomal RNA (327 nucleotides) under uncultured eukaryote. RNAcentral describes it as "partial 18S ribosomal RNA". It matches the Rfam family "Eukaryotic small subunit ribosomal RNA", at positions 1470 to 1796 of the family's 1831-position model. The record is from RNAcentral.